UCCGCAGUCAACACAAAUCUCUCAUAUCUCUCUCUUACUCACUCAAACGAUCUCUCGUAGCCUCUCAAGUUUCAAUUCUCAAAAUUUACAGUUUUUAUUCUUCAAUAUUUUUCAUUUCUUCGCCGCGAAGUUGCUUAUUAGUCAAAGGCCGAUGCUGCGAAGGAGAUCUAGGCCGAUCUGGAAAGGGCUCUUGCUGUGUUUUGGAAGAAGAUGAUGUGAUGGGGUUUGAUAGUGGGGCAAAAACUAUAAAGGAUUGUUGUGAACUCACCUUUGGAUGGAUGAUGCUUCAAGGGCAAAUAUUAAUCAACAUCUUGAGAGUAACAUUACCAAGAAGAACAAAGAAUAUCAUGAUGUGUUUGAAUAGCACAAAUAGCUAAUAAAGGAGGCUUCAAAGGUUGGACGUAUUUUGUUGUUGUGGAUGAUGGGUUCCAAUCAAGACAAUAAUUACUUGAAGUUUGUUUUCUCCAACAAAAUGGGAAGCAAUAGAGUCCUCUUCAGAACUUAGGAUGGGCAUUCAGCUAUAUGCAGAUACUUCUCGUAAAUUGCAGCCUUCAAAAUUUUUAAGAAAUAAGGAAAGUUGUGAGUUACUGAAGAGGAAAGGUUUUAUCAAAGAAAGUUGUUUUAUUGAGCUUGAAAAGGGCGGGGAAUGCAUUGCUAUAAAAUGCGGUGGACUGCCACUUGCAGAAGUAGCCAUUGUUGGUGUCUUAAUCCAAUACACUAGCAACAACUGCUAUUGUAAGUGGUAGUCCAUUGCAUUUUAUAGCUAUAUGUUUAUGGCCUCUUUUAGUUCAAGAGGACAACUUCCCUUGAGAACAACCUUCUUCUAGUAGCUCCCAACUUUCAUCAUUUCUUUAAAAAUUUAAAGAGUGCGGCUUACAAGCGGAAUUUACAUAUAUAGCUACAUUCUCAUGCCUAGUUAUUAAGAGAUUCUACUCCCUCUCAUGUUUUUGUGAAAAGCAAUUUUCAAAUAUUUAUAGUCUUGUGGUCCACACAUCAUCCAGCACAAUGAAAUGCUUACCACCCUCUAAAAGUUCCUUUAUUUUAGUUGUUAAAUGCUCUUCAGGCAUAUCAUGGUACUUCAUUUUCUUCAUUACUUUCGCACUCUCAAGCAGCUCAACAUCAUGCCUGGAGUUUGCAUUCUCUGUUUGAACCAUUGUGCAAAAUAACCUUUUGGAGUCAAUGGGGGUAAUAUUUUCCUUAUUGGCAGAGAGGAAGAGAUAGUGUGGAACUUGGGGCUUUAUUGUAUGAAUUCAGUCUAUGAUCAUGUUGUUGAUUGUGAUCAAGAACUUGUUCCUUUCUGCACCCAGCAGCUGAGUCAACUCUUGUGUGACAGGUUUGUUCUUUCACUUAUUUGAAUUUCAUGAUUUCAUUAUGAUGUUUUGUAUAGUCCAGUGCUGUAGUAGACCUGAUACUUUGACCACAUUUUAGCAUGUUUAAACAAUUGGGUGGUGCUGUCAUUGUUAUUUCAAAGAAACUGGAAGAUAUUAACAAGCUUUGUAUAUUGAUUGCUAUGAGCAUUAAGCUCUCCCCUAAACAUGUUUGCGGUCACUUGUUCUAAGAGUUAACAUUCUAGUACAGCCAUUUUAGCAUUCCAAGAAUGUAGGUUAUUUUAAUGUUGGUUAACCCUCUGCGCAUUGCAUAUUUGCAUAUAUGUAAAAGUUCUAUUACAACAUGUUUGGUUCACGGGAUAGGUUGGGAAUGGAAUAACUCAUCUCUAUUUUUAUCUAAAGUAUAUCUUUUUCUGAAAAGGAAUUCAUCAGGGAAGCUUGAAGCUGCAGCGAUCAACACUUUUUUGGAAGGAAAAAAAUGUUGAUGACCACCAUGCAAAUUAUUUUCUUUGAUAUUGCUCGUACUUAAGCCUGUGAUGUAAAUGCUGCGUACUUGACAUAUUGCCAUUAUGAAUUCGGGUUUUAAUAGGAAAAAUUGUUGUCUUUAUUUCUUCU
Ipomoea nil (Japanese morning glory) is the source of this 1943-nucleotide long non-coding RNA. RefSeq lists it as uncharacterized. Lineage: Eukaryota; Viridiplantae; Streptophyta; Magnoliopsida; Solanales; Convolvulaceae. The transcript has 3 exons. The record is from RefSeq and is a predicted model, not a curated record.